UAAAUCAUCAUAUUGAAGUCAACUUGUCGGAAUGAUAAAGAAAAAGUUUUUGAUUACGAUGUCGACUUGUUAAUAUAAAUGUAAAUGACAUAAAAUAAGAAGUCGACUUGUUUAUUAAUUAAGUCAACUUGCUUAUUUGAUGUUAACUUUAUUCGUUCUCACGGUCAGAUUCCCACGGUCCGUAUUUUACUUCCUGUGCUGACACAUUAAAGAUGGAGAUCGACAGCAACAACAUCAGCGGGAGCAGUGGAAACGAGUCAUAACUGCUUGGUCACCUGCCCGUCUAAUAAAUGGUCAAAGACUAUGGAAGCAAGCAAUAUUUUAAAGUUACUCUGUUGUCUCCUUUGUGUUGCUGAUCAUGACGUUACAGGAAUACCUUACCCAGGCGAUGAUGCUUCUGUGCCUGAACUAGUCCAAUACUAUCAUCAAUUAUGCUACACGUCCCUUCAAAUAUGUGGAUUUCUUUUGUUUGUUCACGGAACAUUCAUGAGUUGUUCCAUGUUAAAAAGACUUAAGAGAAGAUUAAAUAUCAGACGGCGUAACAACCAGUCGCCAUUACCUACAGUUGUAAGGACAAUCCUGGCUUUACACCGUA
Mytilus trossulus (common blue mussel) is the source of this 595-nucleotide long non-coding RNA. RefSeq lists it as uncharacterized. The record is from RefSeq and is a predicted model, not a curated record. The transcript is spliced from 3 exons. NCBI's taxonomy places the organism in Eukaryota, Metazoa, Mollusca, Bivalvia, Mytilida, Mytilidae.